UUUCUAAUGCUCAUCAUUGCUGUAAUGAUAAUAGAUACCCAUGGCAAAGAUAUUCUUCACCUUCUCCCAGGAGAUGUUAAAGAAGGAAUCCAGGAGAGUUAAUAGGAUCAAAUCUUGAAUUAACUCACCAUCCAUGAUAUUGACUUAAUCGCAUGAUUAAGUUAAUCAGGAUAUACUUGACAGUCAUACUAUCACCCCACC
Molecule: long non-coding RNA, 201 nt
Filed under: Elaeis guineensis (African oil palm)
Lineage: Eukaryota; Viridiplantae; Streptophyta; Magnoliopsida; Arecales; Arecaceae
Description: long non-coding RNA (EGUI_LNC067161)
Source: RNAcentral